This is a long non-coding RNA of Oxyura jamaicensis (ruddy duck), 148 nucleotides long. RefSeq lists it as uncharacterized. The transcript is spliced from 3 exons. The record is from RefSeq and is a predicted model, not a curated record. Lineage: Eukaryota; Metazoa; Chordata; Aves; Anseriformes; Anatidae.
AUGGGGAUGAGUCUUAGAUGCCAGAUCCACAUCCAGAUUGGUGACAGUGAUGGCUUUAUGGAGGCCACAGACCUUUCCAGAUCUGUGGAGGACUGCAUGUAGAGCAUGACUGUGCAUUAUAGGGCUGAUGUCAGGAGCUUGGUAUCAA